GUACACUCCUGCGGGAGGCAGCAGUGGGGAAUAUUGCACAAUGGGCGCAAGCCUGAUGCAGCCAUGCCGCGUGUAUGAAGAAGGCCUUCGGGUUGUAAAGUACUUUCAGCGGGGAGGAAGGCGAUAAGGUUAAUAACCUUGUCGAUUGACGUUACCCGCAGAAGAAGCACCGGCUAACUCCGUGCCAGCAGCCGCGGUAAUACGGAGGGUGCAAGCGUUAAUCGGAAUUACUGGGCGUAAAGCGCACGCAGGCGGUCUGUCAAGUCGGAUGUGAAAUCCCCGGGCUCAACCUGGGAACUGCAUUCGAAACUGGCAGGCUAGAGUCUUGUAGAGGGGGGUAGAAUUCCAGGUGUAGCGGUGAAAUGCGUAGAGAUCUGGAGGAAUACCGGUGGCGAAGGCGGCCCCCUGGACAAAGACUGACGCUCAGGUGCGAAAGCGUGGGGAGCAAACAGGAUUAGAAACCCCUGUAGUCCCAUG
This 477-nucleotide ribosomal RNA is filed under the name uncultured organism. RNAcentral's name for it is "partial 16S ribosomal RNA". It matches the Rfam family "Bacterial small subunit ribosomal RNA", at positions 331 to 799 of the family's 1533-position model. The record is from RNAcentral.